RNAcentral lists this ribosomal RNA (483 nucleotides) under uncultured bacterium. RNAcentral's name for it is "partial 16S ribosomal RNA". It matches the Rfam family "Bacterial small subunit ribosomal RNA", at positions 30 to 507 of the family's 1533-position model. The record is from RNAcentral.
AUUGAACGCUGGCGGCAGGCCUAACACAUGCAAGUCGAGCGGAUGAAGGGAGCUUGCUCCUGGAUUCAGCGGCGGACGGGUGAGUAAUGCCUAGGAAUCUGCCUGGUAGUGGGGGAUAACGUCCGGAAACGGGCGCUAAUACCGCAUACGUCCUGAGGAAAAAAGGGGGGAUCCUCGGGACUCACGCUAUUAGGAGAACCCAGGUCGGAUUAGCUAGUUGGUGGGGUAAAGGGCUACCAAGGCGACGAUCCGUAACUGGUCUGAGAGGAAGAUCAGUCACACUGGAACUGAGACACGGUCCAGACUCCUACGGGAGGCAGCAGUGGGGAAUAUUGGACAAUGGGCGAAAGCCUGAUCCAGCCAUGCCGCGUGUGUGAAGAAGGUCUUCGGAUUGUAAAGCACUUUAAGUUGGGAGGAAGGGCAGUAAGUUAAUACCUUGCUGUUUUGACGUUACCAACAGAAUAAGCACCGGCUAACCUCGUG